This 301-nucleotide ribosomal RNA is filed under the name uncultured bacterium. RNAcentral's name for it is "partial 16S ribosomal RNA". It matches the Rfam family "Bacterial small subunit ribosomal RNA", at positions 509 to 809 of the family's 1533-position model. The record is from RNAcentral.
CAGUAGCCGCGGGAAUACGUAGGUGGCAAGCGUUAUCCGGAAUUAUUGGGCGUAAAGCGCGCGUAGGCGGUUUCUUAAGUCUGAUGUGAAAGCCCACGGCUCAACCGUGGAGGGUCAUUGGAAACUGGGAAACUUGAGUGCAGAAGAGGAAAGUGGAAUUCCAUGUGUAGCGGUGAAAUGCGCAGAGAUAUGGAGGAACACCAGUGGCGAAGGCGACUUUCUGGUCUGUAACUGACGCUGAUGUGCGAAAGCGUGGGGAUCAAACAGGAUUAGAUACCCGCGUAGUCCCUGUCUCCUUAUU